This 494-nucleotide ribosomal RNA is filed under the name uncultured bacterium. Its description in RNAcentral is "partial 16S ribosomal RNA". It matches the Rfam family "Bacterial small subunit ribosomal RNA", at positions 28 to 507 of the family's 1533-position model. The record is from RNAcentral.
GACGAACGCUGGCGGCGCGCUUAACACAUGCAAGUCGAACGGAAAGGCCUGCUUUCCCUUGUGGAUUGCGGGUACUCGAGUGGCGAACGGGUGAGUAACACGUGAGUGAUCUGCCCCCAACUUGGGUAUAAGCCUGGGAAACUGGGUCUAAUUCCCGAUAGGACUGCAGGGUGGUGCCUGUGGUGGAAAACGAUUUUCUAGUGGUUGGGGAUGAGCUCGCGGCCUACCAGCUUGUUGGUGGGGUAAUGGCCUACCAAGGCGGCGACGGGUAGCCGGCCUGGGAGGGUGGACGGGCACAUUGGGACUGAGAUACGGCCCAGACUCCUACGGGAGGCAGCAGUGGGGAAUAUUGCACAAUGGGCGGAAGCCUGAUGCAGCGACGCCGCGUGGGGGAUGACGGCCUUCGGGUUGUAAACUCCUUUCGACCGCGAGGAAGCCACCUGGUUGGAAGGGUGGUGACGGUAGUGGUAGAAGAAGCGCCGGCUAACUACGUG